GGCGGUUCUUGGGUGACACACCCCAGAAUCGGGUUCCUUCCUCUCUGGUUCCAGGGUGCGUCACCUGAGAACUGCC
Molecule: non-coding RNA, 76 nt
Organism: Myotis lucifugus (little brown bat)
Lineage: Eukaryota; Metazoa; Chordata; Mammalia; Chiroptera; Vespertilionidae
Source: Rfam